RNAcentral lists this long non-coding RNA (540 nucleotides) under Mytilus galloprovincialis (Mediterranean mussel). Lineage: Eukaryota; Metazoa; Mollusca; Bivalvia; Mytilida; Mytilidae. The record is from RNAcentral.
CUGAAAACCUGAAAAAUAACGGUCUUAGAUGAUUUUCAUACACUAAGACAACUUUGGCAAACUCAAUUUGGGGAGAUCAAAUUGCAUAUUUUUAUAAUUAGUACCAAUUUUAUCAGAUAACAUAACAUUUAACAUAACGUCUAUCAACUUAUCAAGUUGACAUAGCGGUAAAAUUCAACUGUCAGUGAACAGGCACUUCGAUCACGAUUUUCACGGGUCUACAUUAAAUUCACACUUUCAGGGGAUAAUGGGUUUGUAAAACAUGUUUGUUGUUACCUAUUCAUUCAGUCUCAGUGUUAUUUGACACAUCUUUGGGGUAGUUUUCCCUUAAAUUCCAUCGUGGCGAGUGCUUGUUUACGUAUAUUGGAAGUUGCCAUUCCAACGAAUGGUCACUUCCGGGUAACGGUACUUCUUUAUAAAGUUAUAAUAAUACAUAAAAGUAUUAUUAAGAUAUGAUUAAAUUACUUGCUGGCCUUCCUUUUACUGUGUAGGAUAUUUAAUAAUAAGAUAUAAUUACGUUAAGUACGUUUUUGUGAAGCG